RNAcentral lists this ribosomal RNA (568 nucleotides) under Staphylococcus aureus. RNAcentral's name for it is "bacterial SSU rRNA". It matches the Rfam family "Bacterial small subunit ribosomal RNA", at positions 245 to 805 of the family's 1533-position model. Lineage: Bacteria; Bacillati; Bacillota; Bacilli; Caryophanales; Staphylococcaceae. The record is from RNAcentral.
CUAGUUGGUAAGGUAACGGCUUACCAAGGCAACGAUGCAUAGCCGACCUGAGAGGGUGAUCGGCCACACUGGAACUGAGACACGGUCCAGACUCCUACGGGAGGCAGCAGUAGGGAAUCUUCCGCAAUGGGCGAAAGCCUGACGGAGCAACGCCGCGUGAGUGAUGAAGGUCUUCGGAUCGUAAAACUCUGUUAUUAGGGAAGAACAUAUGUGUAAGUAACUGUGCACAUCUUGACGGUACCUAAUCAGAAAGCCACGGCUAACUACGUGCCAGCAGCCGCGGUAAUACGUAGGUGGCAAGCGUUAUCCGGAAUUAUUGGGCGUAAAGCGCGCGUAGGCGGUUUUUUAAGUCUGAUGUGAAAGCCCACGGCUCAACCGUGGAGGGUCAUUGGAAACUGGAAAACUUGAGUGCAGAAGAGGAAAGUGGAAUUCCAUGUGUAGCGGUGAAAUGCGCAGAGAUAUGGAGGAACACCAGUGGCGAAGGCGACUUUCUGGUCUGUAACUGACGCUGAUGUGCGAAAGCGUGGGGAUCAAACAGGAUUAGAUACCCUGGUAGUCCACGCCGUAA